GACGAACGCUGGCGGCGUGCUUAACACAUGCAAGUCGAGCGAUGAAACACCUUCGGGUGCGGAUUAGCGGCGAACGGGUGAGGAACACGUGAGGAAUCUGCCUUCCACUCUGGGAUAACUCCGGGAAACCGGGGCUAAUACCGGAUACUUUCAACUGGCGGCAUCGCCGGUUGAAGAAAGUUUUUCGGUGGAAGAUGACCUCGCGGCCUAUCAGCUUGUUGGUGAGGUAAAGGCUCACCAAGGCGACGACGGGUAGCCGGCCUGAGAGGGCGACGGGCCACCCUGGGCAUGAGGCACGGCCCAGACUCCCACGGGAGGCAGCAGUGGGGAAUAUUGGGCAAUGGAGGAAACUCUGACCCAGCGACGCCGCGUGAGGGAUGAAGGCCUUCGGGUUGUAAACCUCUUUCAGCAGGGAAUAAGCGAAAGUGAAGGUACCUGCAGAAGAAGCACCGGCUAACCAUGUGCCAGCAGCCGCCGUAA
RNAcentral lists this ribosomal RNA (480 nucleotides) under uncultured bacterium. Its description in RNAcentral is "partial 16S ribosomal RNA". It matches the Rfam family "Bacterial small subunit ribosomal RNA", at positions 28 to 523 of the family's 1533-position model. The record is from RNAcentral.